Molecule: ribosomal RNA, 699 nt
Filed under: Salmonella enterica subsp. enterica
Lineage: Bacteria; Pseudomonadati; Pseudomonadota; Gammaproteobacteria; Enterobacterales; Enterobacteriaceae
Description: partial 23S ribosomal RNA
Rfam family: Bacterial large subunit ribosomal RNA
Source: RNAcentral
GCCAGUGGUGAACUCCACAUACGCAUCCUUUGCUGAGGAUACGGUUAACGGAGCGAAAGCGACGUUCAACCGCAAAAGAAGCAGAGGGGGCUUAGUGGUGGGGUGACUGCGUACCUUUUGUAUAAUGGGUCAGCGACUUAUAUUCUGUAGCAAGGUUAACCGUAUAGGGGAGCCGGAGGGAAACCGAGUCUUAACCGGGCGUUAAGUUGCAGGGUAUAGACCCGAAACCCGGUGAUCUAGCCAUGGGCAGGUUGAAGGUUGGGUAACACUAACUGGAGGACCGAACCGACUAAUGUUGAAAAAUUAGCGGAUGACCUGUGGCUGGGGGUGAAAGGCCAAUCAAACCGGGAGAUAGCUGGUUCUCCCCGAAAGCUAUUUAGGUAGCGCCUCGUGAAUUCAUCUCCGGGGGUAGAGCACUGUUUCGGCUAGGGGGCCAUCCCGGCUUACCAACCCGAUGCAAACUGCGAAUACCGGAGAAUGUUAUCACGGGAGACACACGGCGGGUGCUAACGUCCGUCGUGAAGAGGGAAACAACCCAGACCGCCAGCUAAGGUCCCAAAGUCAUGGUUAAGUGGGAAACGAUGUGGGAAGGCCCAGACAGCCAGGAUGUUGGCUUAGAAGCAGCCAUCAUUUAAAGAAAGCGUAAUAGCUCACUGGUCGAGUCGGCCUGCGCGGAAGAUGUAACGGGGCUAAACCAUG